RNAcentral lists this ribosomal RNA (501 nucleotides) under Dialister invisus. RNAcentral describes it as "bacterial SSU rRNA". It matches the Rfam family "Bacterial small subunit ribosomal RNA", at positions 28 to 495 of the family's 1533-position model. Lineage: Bacteria; Bacillati; Bacillota; Negativicutes; Veillonellales; Veillonellaceae. The record is from RNAcentral.
GACGAACGCUGGCGGCGUGCUUAACACAUGCAAGUCGAACGAAAAGAGGGAAAGAGCUUGCUCUUUCCGGAAUUGAGUGGCAAACGGGUGAGUAACACGUAAACAACCUGCCUUCAGGAUGGGGACAACAGACGGAAACGACUGCCAAUACCGAAUAAGUUCCAAGAGCCGCAUGGCCCAUGGAAGAAAAGGUGGCCUCUACCUGUAAGCUAUCGCCUGAAGAGGGGUUUGCGUCUGAUUAGCUGGUUGGAGGGGUAACGGCCCACCAAGGCGACGAUCAGUAGCCGGUCUGAGAGGAUGAACGGCCACACUGGAACUGAGACACGGUCCAGACUCCUACGGGAGGCAGCAGUGGGGAAUCUUCCGCAAUGGGCGAAAGCCUGACGGAGCAACGCCGCGUGAGUGAUGACGGCCUUCGGGUUGUAAAACUCUGCGAUCCGGGACGAAAGGGCAGAGUGCGAAGAACAAACUGCAUUGACGGUACCGGAAAAGCAAGCCACG